GAACUUAAGCAUAUCAAUAAGCGGAGGAAAAGAAACUAACAAGGAUUCCCCUAGUAACUGCGAGUGAAGCGGGAAAAGCUCAAAUUUAAAAUCUGGCGGUCUUUGGCCGUCCGAGUUGUAGUCUGGAGAAGUGCUUUCCGCGCUGGACCGUGUAUAAGUCUCUUGGAACAGAGCGUCAUAGAGGGUGAGAAUCCCGUCUUUGACACGGACUACCAGCGCUUUGUGAUGCGCUCUCAAAGAGUCGAGUUGUUUGGGAAUGCAGCUCAAAAUGGGUGGUGAAUUCCAUCUAAAGCUAAAUAUUGGCGAGAGACCGAUAGCGAACAAGUACCGUGAGGGAAAGAUGAAAAGCACUUUGGAAAGAGAGUUAAACAGUACGUGAAAUUGCUGAAAGGGAAACGCUUGAAGUCAGUCGCGUUGUCCGGAACUCAGCCUUGCUUUUGCUUGGUGCACUUUCCGGAUGACGGGUCAGCAUCGAUUUUGACCGUCGGAAAAGGGCUGGAGUAAUGUGGCACCUCCGGGUGUGUUAUAGACUCUGGUCGCAUACGGCGGUUGGGAUCGAGGAACGCAGCGCGCCGCAAGGCAGGGGUUCGCCCACUUUCGCGCUUAGGAUGCUGGCAUAAUGGCUUUAAACGACCCGUCUUGAAACACGGACCAAGGAGUCUAACAUACCUGCGAGUGUUUGGGUGGAAAACCCGAGCGCGUAAUGAAAGUGAAAGUUGAGACUCCUGUCGUGGGAGGCAUCGACGCCCGGACCUGACGUUCUCUGACGGAUCCGCGGUAGAGCAUGUAUGUUGGGACCCGAAA
This 804-nucleotide ribosomal RNA is filed under the name uncultured fungus. RNAcentral's name for it is "eukaryotic LSU rRNA". It matches the Rfam family "Eukaryotic large subunit ribosomal RNA", at positions 30 to 821 of the family's 3401-position model. Lineage: Eukaryota; Fungi. The record is from RNAcentral.